This 806-nucleotide ribosomal RNA is filed under the name uncultured Verrucomicrobiota bacterium. RNAcentral's name for it is "bacterial SSU rRNA". It matches the Rfam family "Bacterial small subunit ribosomal RNA", at positions 69 to 851 of the family's 1533-position model. The record is from RNAcentral. Lineage: Bacteria; Pseudomonadati; Verrucomicrobiota.
UUUCAAGGUAGCAAUAUUUUGGAGUCGGAGCGGCGCAAGGGUGCGUAACACGUGGGUAAUCUGCCGUGAAGUUGGGGAUAACUUGCUGAAAGGCGAGCUAAUACCGGAUGUGAAAAUCGAAUGGCAUCACUUGAUUUUCAAAGUUGGGGACCGUAAGGCCUGACGCUUCAUGAUGAGCCCGCGGCCUAUCAGCUAGUUGGUGAGGUAACGGCUCACCAAGGCUAAGACGGGUAGCUGGUCUGAGAGGACGACCAGCCACACUGGAACUGAGACACGGUCCAGACACCUACGGGUGGCAGCAGUCGAGAAUUUUUCACAAUGGGCGCAAGCCUGAUGGAGCGACGCCGCGUGGGGGAUGAAUGGCUUCGGCCCGUAAACCCCUGUCAUUUGCGAACAAACCUCGUUAUUUAAAAGAUGACGAGCUGAUUGUAGCGAAAGAGGAAGGGACGGCUAACUCUGUGCCAGCAGCCGCGGUAAUACAGAGGUCCCAAGCGUUGUUCGGAUUCACUGGGCGUAAAGGGUGCGUAGGUGGCGGGGNAAGUCGGAUGUGAAAUCUCCGAGCUCAACUCGGAAAUGGCAUUGGAAACUACCUUGCUCGAGGGUUGGAGGGGGGACUGGAAUACUUGGUGUAGCAGUGAAAUGCGUAGAUAUCAAGUGGAACACCAGUGGCGAAGGCGAGUCCCUGGACAACUCCUGACACUGAGGCACGAAAGCCAGGGGAGCAAACAGGAUUAGAUACCCUGGUAGUCCUGGCUGUAAACNGUGCNUAUUUGCUGUAAAAGGAAUCGACCCCUUUUGUGGCGUAG